Long non-coding RNA from Cucumis sativus (cucumber), 3483 nucleotides. RefSeq lists it as uncharacterized. NCBI's taxonomy places the organism in Eukaryota, Viridiplantae, Streptophyta, Magnoliopsida, Cucurbitales, Cucurbitaceae. The transcript is spliced from 4 exons. The record is from RefSeq and is a predicted model, not a curated record.
GGAAAAGGGUCGAGCCAGACGAUACGCUUCGAACUCUCUCUUUCGCGCCCUUUUUCUGUUUUUCAAUCUCAUUUUCGAUUCUCCCUGCUCAUGAUUUUGUGUAGUCGGAUCUCAAACUCUCCGUGCAGACGUCCGAUUUUAGGACGAGGCUCGUAUUGUUGUUGCACAGGAUGUUUCUCCACAGAAAUUGGAAUGUCGAUACGCUUGGCAUCUUCGAAUCUCCAAAUUCUUUUAGAUACGAUGAAUUGCAGUCUGAUGCUCUCGCAAUUUGCUCAUACUUUACUUAUCAUCCGUUGUAAUGAUAUCUUAGAGGUUUGAAGAGCAAAAUCUCGAUUAGAUGAAUGUUCGACGGACUGACGCUGGUACCUGAUUUUAGACGAUGAUUAAUUUCAUAUAAACAAUCGCAGAACAUAAACAUCUGUAUUUGCAUUUGUCGUCUUCCGAGAGACGAUCGUAAAAUGUUGAAUGACGAGGCUCGUAGUUGUUGCACAAGAUGUUUUUCUAUAGAAAUUGCAAUGACGAUACACUUCCUUUUAGAUACGAUGAAAUGCAGUCUGAUGCUCUCGCAAUCUGCUAGUACUUUACUUAUCAUCCGUUGCAAUGGUAAGUCAGGCUUAUAUUUUAAUUAAAAUCUGCUGGAACAAUCAUCUAAUCUAAUUUUGCUCGUGCUUUCGCAAUCUGCUAAUACUUUACUUAUCAUCCGUUGUAAUGGUAAGUCAGGCUUAUAUUUUAAUUAAAAUCUGCUGGAACAAUCAUCUAGAGUUAAUUGGAUAUCUUAGAGGUCUGAAGAGAAAAUUUUCGAUUAGAUGAUUGUUCUCACAGACUGAUGCUGGUACCUGAUUUUAGACGAUGACUAUUUCAUUUUCGGUGCAGUUUCGCCAAGUCAUGCUUGUCUCUAAGAUUACAGCCUAUGUGCAAUUUUGAGAACUUUUGUUUCUUCAUUGAUAGGAUAAUACAUCUGUUAAGACGAGAUAAAACUGAACUCAAAGAUUUAGUUUAAUCAAAUACAACAAAUUCUUUGUUUACUUUCACGCUUCAUUACGUUUUGUUCUGAUCGAGAGUUAGCUGUAUUGAGGAACUUUUCAUUUCAUGAGUUUUUAGGCUAAACCAAAAGUCUUUGUCACUGCCAUUAUUUGCUUUACUUUUAGCGCAUAUAAGAGUGCCUUUAGCGCAUAUAGACAAUUUGUACUUGUGAUAUCUCUCUUUAAUUGCAUUUUAAAGUUCAAGACAACAGUCUUUCUGUUUGGCUUACAUUAUAAUCUUCCUGCCUAAUACUGAUCAUUUUUUCUUGUGAUUCUUAAUAUACAACUUUGUAUAAUUAAUAAAUAGCGUGUCCAAGCCUUGAAGGAAAAUGACGGUUAUCAGCUGGGGCACAUCUUGAGCUGAGAAACAGACUGAAUCUGAGUUAUUGUUUUUCGUCAAAGAAUUGAGUGGAAUGUGGAGUAGAUUGUGUGCUUGUUUUCAUUCCCGCUGUUCCAUUGGCAUGAAAAUAGUUCAGUUUGGCCGCACAAUUUUUUUUUUGCAAGAUUUCUUCUGUCUUCUGCCUUUACCACGAUAGAACCCUGUGUAUUGGCUCUCUCUAUUUUCAUACCGAACGGGAGAUUAGUACGAAUGCUAUUAGAAUAGUGAUAGGGAUAUUGAUUACUAGGCAUAUUAAGAGUAUGCAAGUAACUAGUUAGAGAGUUUGUUAUGGAAUUUAGUUAUAAAUAAACGGAAAUGAAUGAGAAAGAUAAGAAAAAUAUAUUUUUGUGAGUGAUUUAGGUCUCUCGAGAGGUAUCUCAAGAAAGAGAGGUCCAAGUGUCUCGAACGAUUGAUUUAUUCUUGUAGUUUGGUACCCUAUAUCUUUGAUUACAUUUAGUUUCUAUCAAAGAUGUUUGUUCAUUGAGUUUUCAUCUCCACGCUUAGGGCAGCCUAUCUCACUCGAAUUGAGCUUCUACUUCUACAUGUCAUUUGGUUUUAAAUUUACUUGCUCUCUGACUCCUGUAAUUAAUCAUGCAAAAUGUUUAUUCGCUGUAGUUCUUCUACUGCAAUUAUUAUUUAUCAAAUUCUAAGGGCACCUGAUCGUAAUGAACAAUGGAAGGAUGCGCGAAUCUAAUAUUCUUCUUGUCCGAACGGAUGGUUGAAGCUUUGGCCUACAGGUUUUCUCACUCCUUCUGAUAUGUUAUAUAUAUUGUCUCUCAUUGAUCUUGCUAUUAUUGCUUUCUCUAUGUUUUGGAACAUCUUAUAGGGAAGAUAGCUGAAUAUGUUAUUUGAUUAGGCUCAAGGGGUGAUAGCUUGAACAUCGCUAUGUAGGAAUGUUAAAGGCAUAUAUAUAGUAUUUUGUAUUUACAAUACAGUCCUUGAAUCCCCAUCUCAACUUAUAUGCUCUAGGUGUGGUAAAGCUAUAAGGAUUUUAGUGCUUAGAAUGAGCCAUAGAUAUUAAGGAAUGCUUAUAUUUUCGUUUCUUUUCUCUACAACCCGAAACACCAAACACAUGCAUUGGAUAAAAUUCUCUUCCUUCUUCUUUUUCUUCGUCCUUUUUUUUUUUCUCGUUUGUAAACAAAUAUUUUCGUACCAUAUUUUGGAACCGUUUUCUUAUUCUAAUUUUUUGUACUUUUAUCAAAUUUUCAACAAAUGGAAUGAAAUUAAAAUUUCAAUUUAUUAUAUUUGACUUUUUACAAGUCACUUUAAUUUUACCAUUGUUUCUCAAUUUUGGAGAACAAGAUAUAAGACAUUGCAUUAUUUUUCAUGAAUAAAGUAGCGGGGAAUUAAAAAUUUACUCAAAGUUAUUUUUUGAAGAAUAAACAAUUUUUUUUUGAGAAUUUAUGAUUGUUUGAGGCCAACAUUCUAUAAUUUUUGUGAGGAGUACAUAUUUUUUUCAAAGAAAUCAUAAUACAGUUUUUGACUCUCUUGAUGUGAUGAAUUUCUGGAGGACGAAGUCAAACGAUUUAAGGUACGCACUUCUUCUCUUCUAUAACUUGGAACCUAAAAGAAUUUAACCUACAUCACAAAGAGUGCUUUCAAAUGUAGGAAUAUUUCGUUAAAAAGAUGUCUAUUUUUUAAAUAGAAACAGAUCAAUAUCCUCAAAUCAGUUGUAUAGACUGAAUUAAAUUAACAUUCUUAGGAUGUAGUUUUAAGGAUACAUUUUGGAUUGAUUUUCUAAGUAGAAAUUUUGUCUGCAGUUACAAACACUUUAUAUAUUUAAAAAUUCAAUUAAAACAUGUAUAAGUUUCUAACAAAAUGUUAUAUUAGAUUUAGAUUGAUUGAGAUGUUAGGGUCAUAAGGUAGCUCGAUCGGCCACCAAUUAUUAUUAUGAAGGGAACAAAAAGAAAGAAAGCUGUGUGGCAUUGGUUUAGGUAUAAGUCUCACAAAAGCAAAAUGUGAAAACUUUAUUACAAAUUUGCUCUGAGAAAGAACAACAGCUUUCUUCUUCUGUACAAUUUACAAAUUGAGUAAGAGAACAUAUGUUACACUGAUUACAUUACUUUACCCACAAAAAAAAAA